This 208-nucleotide ribosomal RNA is filed under the name uncultured bacterium. Its description in RNAcentral is "partial 16S ribosomal RNA". It matches the Rfam family "Bacterial small subunit ribosomal RNA", at positions 568 to 774 of the family's 1533-position model. The record is from RNAcentral.
CAUGUAGGCGGAUUAAUAAGUUUGAAGUGAAAUCCUAUAGCUUAACUAUAGAACUGCUUUGAAAACUGUUAAUCUAGAAUGUGGGAGAGGUAGGAUGGAAUUUCUGGUGUAGGGGUAAAAUCCGUAGAGAUCAGAAGGAAUACCGAUUGCGAAGGCGAUCUACUGGAACAUUAUUGACGCUGAGAUGCGAAAGCGUGGGGAGCAAACA